Molecule: ribosomal RNA, 514 nt
Filed under: uncultured bacterium
Lineage: Bacteria
Description: bacterial SSU rRNA
Rfam family: Bacterial small subunit ribosomal RNA
Source: RNAcentral
GAGUUUGAUCAUGGCUCAGAUUGAACGCUGGCGGCAGGCCUAACACAUGCAAGUCGGGCGGUAGAGAGAAGCUUGCUUCUCUUGAGAGCGGCGGACGGGUGAGUAAUGCCUAGGAAUCUGCCUGGUAGUGGGGGAUAACGCUCGGAAACGGACGCUAAUACCGCAUACGUCCUACGGGAGAAAGCAGGGGACCUUCGGGCCUUGCGCUAUCAGAUGAGCCUAGGUCGGAUUAGCUAGUUGGUGAGGUAAUGGCUCACCAAGGCGACGAUCCGUAACUGGUCUGAGAGGAUGAUCAGUCACACUGGAACUGAGACACGGUCCAGACUCCUACGGGAGGCAGCAGUGGGGAAUAUUGGACAAUGGGCGAAAGCCUGAUCCAGCCAUGCCGCGUGUGUGAAGAAGGUCUUCGGAUUGUAAAGCACUUUAAGUUGGGAGGAAGGGCAGUAAAUUAAUACUUUGCUGUUUUGACGUUACCGACUAGAAUAAGCACCGGCUAACUCUGUGCCAGCCGCCG